CGACAUUCUGUUCUCGUAGUUUUCUCUUCGCAUUGUUCGCUGAAGAAGCACGAUUCGUUGACGUUAGCGCCUGAAAAAGUAUUUUUUGAUUAUUGCUGAAAAUUAUUGAUCUGGGAUUGUUGGAUGUAUUUAACAUAGAGAAAGUGUAGGGGAUUUUGCUUUGAGGGUUCAGAAACAUCCUCAAUUUGGAAGAUUCUUGGGUAAGAGGAAUUGGGCUUGGAAAACAGUUAAUUGACUCUAUUAAUCGUCAGAAAGGUUUCAUGCCUGACGUUUUGUUUGUCUUUUAACAACAGACAUGAAACAUUAUGGCACAGUCAACGGGAUCUCUUUGGCAAUAGGUUAGACAAAAGAUUUUCUCUUCUAUGGGCUUCUCGAAAUCUUCUCUAACUUUUUCAAAGUUAGAUCACAAAACGUAUACUCUUUCGCUAUUAUUAAAGUUUCUCGUAACAUCCUUUCUUGGAACUUGAGCUAUCCUGACCGACAGAGACUGCUAUUGUCUCCAGUAGAUGUUGUGAUGCAUCAGUUUGAUACUUCAGUGGUCUAUUGGAUGCUAGGGGAAGUUUGAAGGGAGAAGCAACACUUGUUAAGGGAACACUUGUGGUGAUAUUGAUUUUAUUUUUAAAAAAUUGCCAAUAAUCCUUUAUGGGUAAUAGUAGGAUUUAAAAUAAUAUAAUUAAAAUUAGCACUGGAGCUCUUUUUAACAUAGAACAUCUAACAUCAAUAAAGACACUUCUACGGGCUGUAAAGGUAUAGCUACUCUCGUAGCCAUUUUGUCAUACUAACUGGAAUUGCAAGGAAAACAGCCAUUUAAACGUAAUGGAGCGUACCAAGGCUGUUGCAAAUUGUCGAACUGUGAACUGACAAUUUUUUUCUGCUUCUGCACUGGUACAGUCUGUUACUCCAAGUACCUUGUAAGCUCGAACCACAAGAAAGGAUGGGUGAAUUCUAUAAUAGUAAAUCCUUUGCAGUGGAUGAGUUCCCUACUGCCGAAUUCUUAUAGUUCAAUUCAUGG
Cephus cinctus (wheat stem sawfly) is the source of this 1012-nucleotide long non-coding RNA. RefSeq lists it as uncharacterized. The transcript is spliced from 4 exons. The record is from RefSeq and is a predicted model, not a curated record. NCBI's taxonomy places the organism in Eukaryota, Metazoa, Arthropoda, Insecta, Hymenoptera, Cephidae.